GUGCCAGCAGCCGCGGUAAUACGUAGGUCCCAAGCGUUAUCCGGAGUUACUGGGCGUAAAGUGUCCGUAGCCUGAUAUUUAAGUCCAUUUUCAAAUAUCUCAGCUUAACUGAGAGAAGGGAAUAGAUACUGGAUAUCUGGAGGUCUUUGGAGGUUAGUGGAAUUUCCGGUGGAGCGGUGAAAUGCGUUGAUAUCGGAAAGAAUGCCGAAAGCGAAAGCAGCUAACUACAGAGAACCUGACGGUGAGGGACGAAAGUUUGGGGAGCAAACGGGAUUAGAAACCCCUGUAGUCC
RNAcentral lists this ribosomal RNA (292 nucleotides) under uncultured bacterium. Its description in RNAcentral is "partial 16S ribosomal RNA". It matches the Rfam family "Bacterial small subunit ribosomal RNA", at positions 505 to 796 of the family's 1533-position model. The record is from RNAcentral.